Long non-coding RNA from Microplitis demolitor, 637 nucleotides. RefSeq lists it as uncharacterized. NCBI's taxonomy places the organism in Eukaryota, Metazoa, Arthropoda, Insecta, Hymenoptera, Braconidae. The record is from RefSeq and is a predicted model, not a curated record. The transcript is spliced from 3 exons.
GUCUCAUAGAAGCUUGUGAAACUUCAGGAAACAACAAUCGGAAAUAAAAUCAGAUAAAUGUCGAAAAUAAUUUUAUUAUUAUCAAUUUUCGUAUUGGUUGUUAUCUAUCCUGGUGUAUAUGCAUCAUGUCCUGGCGGUUGGUGCCAUCCAUCGCAAGGUUAUGGCUGUUGUGAAGGAAAUAGAUGCUCUUCAUAUUUGUUUCAAGGUGUAUGCAUGUCCAUUGUGGACUACGGUAUAAUGCACGCUAUGGGAAAAUAAUUAUAACAAUUUAGUGAACAUUUAUAACUGUACACGGAAAAAAAAAUCUGAGCGUCGGUUAGCCCUGGUCAGGGAUCAAAAUCAAGAUUUGAAUAAGUUUUGACCCAUGUAGCAAACAAUAAAAUGAGAAAUAUCCGACAAAAAUAUAAGAAACUACGUUUUUUCGAUUGUUUUGUUAAUAAUAUGAUUUGAACUAAAAACCAAGUUCGACGACAUUAUAUAAUCGAAAAAAACCAUAAUAUGGAUGAGUUGCUAUGAUUUCAGACACAUAUUAGUACGUUAUAUUAUGAUUUAUCCGGAAAAAAUAACAAAAUAUUAUUGUUUAACUUUUCAACGCCGAUAUCUUUCGUUUUUUACCAUUUCUUCCUCCAACAAUGUG